RNAcentral lists this long non-coding RNA (1752 nucleotides) under Paramuricea clavata. Lineage: Eukaryota; Metazoa; Cnidaria; Anthozoa; Malacalcyonacea; Plexauridae. The record is from RNAcentral.
CGCAAAUCCGCCUUUAGACUUUCGCAAAGUACUUUUUAAAUGACGUCGCUUUAUUUUGCGCGGAUCCGCUUGGGUUCCUCACGCCGCUCUCAACUUUGAAUCUUUCUCCGCUUUCCGCCUUGUAAAAAAUACGCAAAAAGGUUCGGGGCGGACUUAUGGAAAGUCUGCAAAUUACCGAGAAGAACUCAUUCUACGAAUUUAUUUUCUUUAACCUAUUUAGAUGCAGAUUUGUUAGCAUAGCAUGACCAGUUGCCAUGACUAUAGCUUCGCUACUGCAUCUUACUGAAAAGAACUCAUUCAAUGAAAUAUUCAAUUACGAAUUCUCUAGAGUCUCUAGACUGAGAUUCAAAUUCUCGUAAUGGAGAUGUGAGAUGACUCUAAAGUUAGGGGGCUAAAGGUCAUUGAAGGCCAAAUGUCCUGGGGACGAGGUUAAAAGCGAGGAAUAUAAAUUAUAUGUGCUUGUAAUAUAAUGAGUAGUUUUUGUAUAGUACACUGCGGCGGUUAAAAGCGACUAAUGGGUCAACUGUUCUUACUGAUAUAAAAUCAAUCUCGUACCCAGAGUAUGCCCGUUCGGGACCCCUUACGCUAGCUCCACAUGCAGUCUAGCUAAGGUCUAGUCAUGGGGUCCCCAAAGAAUAUCUAACCUGCGAACGGGCAUACUCUGGGUACGAGAUUGAUAUAAAAUACAAAACUGUUUAACUUGGAGGUUCGCAAUUCAGUACUUUGCUCAUGGGCUGAACGUUGACAGGCUCGAACGUGCAAUAUUACCCAAACGUUUAAUCAAAUACAAAGACGGCGGUGUUUCCUUAUGGCAGGUAAUAAUUUGACGGCAGGGCACGUACGAAAAAUUUGCGCCUAUACCAUUCAUGAUUGACUGACUUAGUUGAGCGCCCUUCACAUGCGUGAGAAGACUGGGACUGGCCUUCAAGUUUGGCUUCAAAUUUCCGGUUGGAGGUAGCGUUCCAGUUAUGGUCAUUUCAAAUUUUAAUGUCCUAUAAUGUUAUAUACAUAGUCUAUAGGAGUAUAGCUAUCUUAAACAUAUGUAUAUAUUAUUUUGCUUGCAUGGAGAAGUUUUCAUUGAGAAAUGAAUUGUUUUAGGUUAGUCUGCGCAAAAUUUGAAGAGUAAAAGUAUGACAUGCGUGGUAUAUGAAUGUAGUUUUAAUAAGUGCGAUUGUAAUUUCAUAUGAUCAUGUUUUUGUAAUUAAUGAAUUAAAUUAUAUAUACUUAAUUAUAUAACAUUUAACUUUUGGGGUCUUAAAAGGAUGAACAGCCGAAGAUAAAAACAUUGUCUCAGUUGAUCCUGUGAAAUUUUAAUAACUAAAUAUAUACAUUUUCGCAGGAAAAUUUGAAUUAAAUUUUACAGUUGAGUGUAUAUGUUGUAAAUAGACGUUGAAGUGAAUUUUGCGGGGCAUGGGCAAAAAGUCUUACACAAUAAAUGGCCGUUUAAACGGAAAGUUUGUGUUUUUGAAUUUCCUUGUUUUUAUACUACUUUUCAUUGCGUAUUGCCGCAGAGGUAUUGCCGUUAGUUUCUUUAUACGUAUACCAAGACGUGUUGAAGUUAUCUUCUGUUAACUGGCAAAAAUUAAUGUGCUGCUGUAUGAAUUAAACGCGCCGUCACAGAAUAGACUACACAGAACUUCUUGGGUUUUUUCUAUGAAUUCGACUUCCUCUCAAACGCGCACUGGCUAGGACCAUGGAGUCAGGCAUUUUGAUGAUGAACCAUGGCGUGGCAGCGGUUACUCGAGUCGAACC